Molecule: ribosomal RNA, 372 nt
Filed under: uncultured organism
Description: bacterial SSU rRNA
Rfam family: Bacterial small subunit ribosomal RNA
Source: RNAcentral
CGGAGGGUGCAAGCGUUAAUCGGAAUUACUGGGCGUAAAGCGCACGCAGGUGGCUGAGUCAGUCGAUUGUGAAAGCCCUGGGCUUAACCUGGGAAUUGCAGUCGAUACUACUUAGCUAGAGUAUGGGAGAGGGCAGUGGAGUUCCCGGUGUAGCGGUGAAAUGCGUAGAUAUCGGGAGGAACAUCAGUGGCGAAGGCGGCUGCCUGGCCCAAUACUGACACUCAGGUGCGACAGCGUGGGGAGCAAACAGGAUUAGAUACCCUGGUAGUCCACGCCGUAAACGAUGAGAACUAGAUGUCGGGGGGGAUUAGCCCCUCGGUGUCGUAGCUAACGCGCUAAGUUCUCCGCCUGGGGAGUACGGCCGCAAGGUUG